CCUACGGGAGGCAGCAGUGAGGAAUAUUGGUCAAUGGUCGGGAGACUGAACCAGCCAAGCCGCGUGAGGGAUGAAGGUACAGAGUAUCGUAAACCUCUUUUGUCAGGGAACAAAGGCGGGGACGUGUCCCCGGAUGAGUGUACCUGAAGCAAAAGCAUCGGCUAACUCCGUGCCAGCAGCCGCGGUAAUACGGAGGAUGCGAGCGUUAUCCGGAUUUAUUGGGUUUAAAGGGUGCGCAGGUGGGCUGUUAAGUCAGCCGUCAAAGGCCGGGGCUCAACCCCGGCCCCGCCAUUGAUACUGGCAGUCUUGAGUUGGAGAGAGGUAUGCGGAAUGCGCGGUGUAGCGGUGAAAUGCAUAGAUAUCGCGCAGAACUCCGAUUGCGAAGGCAGCAUGCCGGCUCCACACUGACGCUGAGGCACGAAAGCGUGGGUAUCGAACAGGAUUAGAUACCCGUGUAGUC
RNAcentral lists this ribosomal RNA (460 nucleotides) under uncultured bacterium. Its description in RNAcentral is "partial 16S ribosomal RNA". It matches the Rfam family "Bacterial small subunit ribosomal RNA", at positions 338 to 795 of the family's 1533-position model. The record is from RNAcentral.